AGUGAACGCUGGCGGUAGGCCUAACACAUGCCAGUCGAACGGCAGCACAGUAAGAGCUUGCUCUUACGGGUGGCGAGUGGCGGACGGGUGAGGAAUACAUCGGAAUCUACUUUUUCGUGGGGGAUAACGUAGGGAAACUUACGCUAAUACCGCAUACGACCUACGGGUGAAAGUAGGGGAUCUUCGGACCUUGCGCGAUUGAAUGAGCCGAUGUCGGAUUAGCUAGUUGGCGGGGUAAAGGCCCACCAAGGCGACGAUCCGUAGCUGGUCUGAGAGGAUGAUCAGCCACACUGGAACUGAGACACGGUCCAGACUCCUACGGGAGGCAGCAGUGGGGAAUAUUGGACAAUGGGCGCAAGCCUGAUCCAGCCAUACCGCGUGGGUGAAGAAGGCCUUCGGGUUGUAAAGCCCUUUUGUUGGGAAAGAAAAGCAGCAGGUUAAUACCCCGCUGUUCUGACGGUACCCAAAGAAUAAGCACCGGCUAACUUCAUG
This 492-nucleotide ribosomal RNA is filed under the name uncultured bacterium. Its description in RNAcentral is "partial 16S ribosomal RNA". It matches the Rfam family "Bacterial small subunit ribosomal RNA", at positions 29 to 507 of the family's 1533-position model. The record is from RNAcentral.